GACGAACGCUGGCGGCGUGCUUAACACAUGCAAGUCGAACGGAAAGGCCCUGCUUUUGUGGGGUGCUCGAGUGGCGAACGGGUGAGUAACACGUGAGUAACCUGCCCUUGACUUUGGGAUAACUUCAGGAAACUGGGGCUAAUACCGGAUAGGAGCUCCUGCUGCAUGGUGGGGGUUGGAAAGUUUCGGCGGUUGGGGAUGGACUCGCGGCUUAUCAGCUUGUUGGUGGGGUAGUGGCUUACCAAGGCUUUGACGGGUAGCCGGCCUGAGAGGGUGACCGGCCACAUUGGGACUGAGAGACGGCCCAGACGCCUACGGGAGGCAGCAGUGGGGAAUAUUGCACAAUGGGCGGAAGCCUGAUGCAGCAACGCCGCGUGCGGGAUGACGGCCUUCGGGUUGGAAACCGCUUUCGCCUGUGACGAAGCGUGAGUGACGGUAAUGGGUAAAGAAACACCGGCGAACUACGC
Molecule: ribosomal RNA, 467 nt
Filed under: uncultured bacterium
Lineage: Bacteria
Description: partial 16S ribosomal RNA
Rfam family: Bacterial small subunit ribosomal RNA
Source: RNAcentral